Stereum hirsutum FP-91666 SS1 is the source of this 93-nucleotide non-coding RNA. The record is from the annotation of a RefSeq genome assembly. NCBI's taxonomy places the organism in Eukaryota, Fungi, Basidiomycota, Agaricomycetes, Russulales, Stereaceae.
GGGCAUAUGGUGUAGUUGGUUUAUCACGCUCGCUUAGCAUAACCCACAGGAGUUGUCUGCGAGAGGUGUCCGGUUCAAUUCCGGAUAUGUCCA